RNAcentral lists this ribosomal RNA (253 nucleotides) under uncultured bacterium. RNAcentral's name for it is "partial 16S ribosomal RNA". It matches the Rfam family "Bacterial small subunit ribosomal RNA", at positions 524 to 776 of the family's 1533-position model. The record is from RNAcentral.
AACGUAGGACACAAGCGUUAUCCGGAAUUACUGGGCGUAAAGGGAGUGCAGGCGGUUGCGUAAGGUAGGCGUGAAAGACUUCGGCUAAACCGGGGGAGGUCGUCUGAUACUGCGUAACUAGAGUGUGGUAGAGGCGUGUAGAAUUCCGGGUGUAGUGGUGAAAUGCGUAGAGAUCCGGAGGAAUACCAGUGGCGAAGGCGGCACGCUGGGCCAUGACUGACGCUAAGACUCGAAAGCAUGGGUAGCGAACGGG